Molecule: long non-coding RNA, 1012 nt
Organism: Peromyscus leucopus (white-footed mouse)
Lineage: Eukaryota; Metazoa; Chordata; Mammalia; Rodentia; Cricetidae
Exons: 5
Source: RefSeq, a predicted model, not a curated record
CUGUAAGAGUGUAACAAAAAAGUAUCUGUUUGAUACUGCAGCCUUUGUGCUCGGGAACUGACUGCAGCUGUGGUUUCUGAAUCUGAUUCCCGCAACAAGUCUGGGCGCUCACACUUCCCGGUGGAUGAAGGAGGAGCCCUUGAGACUACUGGCAAUUAACAUUUGCUGAGGGAGAGGAGGGUCAUUUUCCUCUGCGGUAUAGUCACAGAUGAGCUGCCCCUGCGCCCUUGAAUAACCCCCACACCCACACUCAGGCAAGUGACUAAUUAAACUCAGUGGGCCACGUGCAAAAAGAAGAAACGGAGGUGUUACCUGCCAGAAGCUGUGUCUGGAUCUCUAAGCCUGCGUGGCCAAGCUGUUCUCCCUCCCCCGCCCCCUCCCAUCCCCAGUGGCCUUUAUCUGCUGAACAACUCACCAGUCCAUCUGUGUACAUCACUCUUGGCUUUCCUGUCUUCCAAGCUCUCAACAGAAUGCCUGUUAAGCUCAAUCUCUGCAUUCUAGAAGCUUCGAUACCCAUAAACACGAUUUCUCCUCCAGAGUUUAACAUUCAAGUCUUGGUUCCUUUUUUCUCAGGGCAAUGGGGACAAUUCAUGGAAUCAGCCUCAGCGUCCAAACAACAGAGGAUUGGGUCAGGAUAAAGAGGAGAGCUGUGUCACCUACAGGAAAAUGAAUACAGUGAGAGACAGCUCCACAGUCCGUGUUCCUGACCAAGGAAUGUUCUCUGUAAGGCAGAGACGUGACUCCUCAGCCUUGCUCUGCGCCAUCCAGAAGGAAAUUGUUAAAACACCUCCAGCUUUGUCUUUCUGAAUGAGCUGAGGCCCGAACCCAGGGCCUUCUGCUUGCUAGGCAAGCGUUCAACCACUGAGCUAAAUCCCCAACCCCAUCUUUCUGAAUUCUUGACUCUCAUCUGUAUACGUGUCUUCACUGCAGAGAUUUGUAAGUGGGUAGCCAUUCCAGCUUUGAUCUGGAAGUCCCAACCCCCAUUGAGGCUUCGGUAACUGUCACGCCUACA